This 254-nucleotide ribosomal RNA is filed under the name uncultured bacterium. Its description in RNAcentral is "partial 16S ribosomal RNA". It matches the Rfam family "Bacterial small subunit ribosomal RNA", at positions 524 to 777 of the family's 1533-position model. The record is from RNAcentral.
UACGUAGGGGGCAAGCGUUGUCCGGAAUCAUUGGGCGUAAAGAGCGUGUAGGCGGCCCGGUAAGUCCGCUGUGAAAGUCCAGGGCUCAACCCUGGGAUGCCGGUGGAUACUGUCGGGCUCGAGUCCGGAAGAGGAGUGUGGAAUUCCUGGUGUAGCGGUGAAAUGCGCAGAUAUCAGGAGGAACACCGGUGGCGAAGGCGGAUCUCUGGGCCGAUACUGACGCUGAGGAGCGAAAGCGUGGGGAGCGAACAGGA